UUUCUCUUCUUCUUCUCUCUAUACGUUGGUGUUCUAACCAAUAAUCACCGAUGCAAUGUUCUGUCCGAUCGAUUCAGGAACCAUCUAACGAAUGCCGAAGUGUUGUGCUUUGUGAAUUUCGUUAAACGGAAUCCAAAGUACUAUACUUUGUGAGUUCAUUAAAUGGAUACCAAAGUACUGUCUGAAUAAGACUAUACUUUGUGAAAUUCGUUAAGGUUCGAAUCUCGUGACUACCGUUAAGGUUUGAUUUGGGUUUUACACAAAUACGUAUUCCAUUCUGUUAAACUAUAUGUUUAACUACCAUAAUACUCCCAACCACACACUCACAAUCAAACAAACUAUUAAAUCAUCAGAAGAUCCAGAAUAAUAAAGUGCAUGCUUAAUUAUCGGAAGAAGUAGAAUCAAGAAGCUUGAUAACUCAAUCUCACAUAAACCAAUGGUAAUUACAGUAUAUUGGAGUAAGGAUUGGAUCCAACACUGAAAGGACUUCAAGAAGUUGCUUAUUUUAUUAAUUAAAUCAACUUAAGAAAUAUUGUUUUUGGGGUUUAUCCCGUAUUAAAAGCUACCUUUGUAAAACCUGGAAUUUAUUCCAUCUAUUUAAAUAAAAUCCGGUGU
RNAcentral lists this long non-coding RNA (615 nucleotides) under Helianthus annuus (common sunflower). RNAcentral's name for it is "hypothetical non coding rna". The record is from RNAcentral. Lineage: Eukaryota; Viridiplantae; Streptophyta; Magnoliopsida; Asterales; Asteraceae.